AUCGCAGGUCCUGCAGCCCCAGGAGGUUCCUUACGUACAGGAUUCCUUUUUAGAGCCAAUGGUCAUUUCCAUCAAGGACCCACCAAGGAUGGAGAAGGACAGAGACCUCAUGGUUGCGAGGAUAUUAGACCUCACCCUGGAAAUCAUCUCCUUGAUAACUGGAGAGGAUUACACAGUAGUGAAGAAGUCGUCUGGUGAGUGUGUGACACCCCGUGUGUCAGG
This is a long non-coding RNA of Bufo gargarizans (Asiatic toad), 222 nucleotides long. RefSeq lists it as uncharacterized. Lineage: Eukaryota; Metazoa; Chordata; Amphibia; Anura; Bufonidae. The record is from RefSeq and is a predicted model, not a curated record. The transcript has 3 exons.